AACCAUAGAAACCUGCGGAGUACCUGCGGAGGGAUCAUUAUAGUAUAUGGAAUCUCCAUUCUAUAAACCCACUCUGCGUAUCUUGUAACUGUUGCUUCCAUGGGACUUGGUUCCGCCACACCGGCUUCACGGCUGGCGAGCGCCCAUGGAAGGAGAAACAAAACUCUUCUUUGAAAUGUAGUCAGUCUGAACAAGUUUUUAUAAACGUUAAAACUUUCAGCAAUGGAUCUCAGAUCGGAA
RNAcentral lists this unclassified non-coding RNA (240 nucleotides) under soil metagenome. RNAcentral's name for it is "partial contains 5.8S ribosomal RNA, internal transcribed spacer 2, and large subunit ribosomal RNA". The record is from RNAcentral.